GGCUUUUUCUCAUAUCGUCCUGUUUCUAUUUUAAGUGGCGCAACGCCACAUCUAAAUUUUGCAUAAGCACUUCUAAAUUUAAUAGAUAUAUUUUGUUUUAAAUAUAACUCUGUACAAUAUUGUGAUUUAUAUCGCUUAUAAGUACGAAGCUUGUUACCAUUACUCUGUGACAAAAUUUUCGUUUGCUAUUCUGCAAUAUAUU
RNAcentral lists this long non-coding RNA (202 nucleotides) under Mytilus galloprovincialis (Mediterranean mussel). The record is from RNAcentral. Lineage: Eukaryota; Metazoa; Mollusca; Bivalvia; Mytilida; Mytilidae.